UAGGCCAUUGGAGAUGUGAAUAUGUGCGGGUUUGAUUACGGCCAUCCUUGAGCCACCACUUGGCAAUUGUCAAUGGUGGCUACAUGAAUUGGCAUCAGAUCAGAGCUAUUCGAGCUCCUACAAAUAGGUGCUCCCUUCCUCAGGUUUCACCUUUAUCAUUUUACAAUUCCAUUGUUGUGGAAGAGAGAGAUGGAGUCCUUGGGUGAUUUCCAACAAAUCUCAAUCGAUAGCCACGAUUGUCCUUGGCU
RNAcentral lists this long non-coding RNA (248 nucleotides) under Elaeis guineensis (African oil palm). RNAcentral describes it as "long non-coding RNA (EGUI_LNC062746)". The record is from RNAcentral. Lineage: Eukaryota; Viridiplantae; Streptophyta; Magnoliopsida; Arecales; Arecaceae.